RNAcentral lists this ribosomal RNA (294 nucleotides) under uncultured bacterium. Its description in RNAcentral is "partial 16S ribosomal RNA". It matches the Rfam family "Bacterial small subunit ribosomal RNA", at positions 27 to 337 of the family's 1533-position model. The record is from RNAcentral.
GAACGAACGCUUGCGGCAGGCCUAACACAUGCAAGUCGAGCGAGAACGGUUUCUUCGGAACUUAUUAAAAGCGGCGGACGGGUGAGUAACGCGUGGGAAACUGCCUUAUAGUGGGGGAUAACUAUUGGAAACGAUAGCUAAUACCGCAUACGCCCUACGGGGAAGAUUAUCGUCUAUAAGAUGUGCCCGCGUUAGAUUAGUACGUUGGUGAGGUAAUGGCUCACCAAGACUACGAUCUAUAGCUGGUUUGAGAGAAUGAUCAGCCGACAUUGGGACUGAGACACGGCCCAGACU